Molecule: long non-coding RNA, 391 nt
Filed under: Capsicum annuum
Lineage: Eukaryota; Viridiplantae; Streptophyta; Magnoliopsida; Solanales; Solanaceae
Description: long non-coding RNA (CANN_LNC012915)
Source: RNAcentral
CCCAGUAUCUAUGUCAUUCAGUUGGGAGUAACACUUAGCACCGAGUGAACAUAGGGAUGGUGUCUCCCCCGUCAGUUAGGCAUGAGGCACUAGUAGCAGUCCCUAUGUUCCAAACCUAUGGUGCCACCAUAGAUUUUGAGAGGUCCCUCGUAAGUUAGGAUAGCAGCCUCAUCCUUUAAGGAAUCAGCUCAGCCUUGUGGAAUCCUCAUCGUCAGCCAGUUUUUGUACCUUAGCAAGGUACUGGCACCUUUCAAACUAGGGUUAUAGGUUGGACCCUGAUUACUAAAUUGAGGUAUGUCGGUUAUAGCUAUCUCCCACAGUCUCAGCAGAGUAUUCAAUAUAGUUUCAGAUUAGGUUUGCUUGACCAAAGAAUAUAGACUCUCAGCUAUUC